AGAGUUUGAUCCUGGCUCAGGACGAACGCUGGCGGCGCGCCUAACACAUGCAAGUCGAACGGAGUCAAGAGGAGCUUGCUUUUCUUGACUUAGUGGCGAACGGGUGAGUAACGCGUGAGUAACCUGCCCUGGAGUGGGGGACAACAGUUGGAAACGACUGCUAAUACCGCAUAAGCCCACGGAUUCGCAUGGAUCUGCGGGAAAAGGAUUUAUUCGCUUCAGGAUGGACUCGCGUCCAAUUAGCUAGUUGGUGAGGUAACGGCCCACCAAGGCGACGAUUGGUAGCCGGACUGAGAGGUUGAACGGCCACAUUGGGACUGAGACACGGCCCAGACUCCUACGGGAGGCAGCAGUGGGGGAUAUUGCACAAUGGGGGAAACCCUGAUGCAGCGACGCCGCGUGGAGGAAGAAGGUUUUCGGAUUGUAAACUCCUGUCGUUAGGGACGAUAAUGACGGUACCUAACAAGAAAGCACCGGCUAACUACGUGCCAGCAGCCGCGGU
This 502-nucleotide ribosomal RNA is filed under the name uncultured bacterium. RNAcentral describes it as "bacterial SSU rRNA". It matches the Rfam family "Bacterial small subunit ribosomal RNA", at positions 8 to 521 of the family's 1533-position model. The record is from RNAcentral.